GACGAACGCUGGCGGCGUGCUUAACACAUGCAAGUCGAACGGUAAGGCCCUGCUUUUGUGGGGUGCUCGAGUGGCGAACGGGUGAGUAACACGUGAGUAACCUGCCCUUGACUCUGGGAUAACUUCAGGAAACUGUGGCUAAUACCGGAUAGGAGCUCCUGCUGCAUGGUGUGGGUUGGAAAGUUUCGUCGGUUGGGGAUGGGCCCGCGGCUUAUCAGCUUGUUGGUGGGGUAGUGGCUUAACAAGGCUUUGACGGGUAGCCGGCCUGGGAGGGGUACCGGCCACAUUGGGACUGGGGAAAGGCCCAGGAUUCUAAGGGAGGGAGCAGGGGGGAAUUUUGCAAAAUGGGGGGCAGCCUGGUGCAGGAACGCCGCGUGCGGGAUGACGGCCUUCGGGGUGGAAACCGCUUUCGCCUGGGAAGGAGCGUGAGGGACGGGAAUGGGUAGAGAAGGACCGGCUAACUACGUG
This 468-nucleotide ribosomal RNA is filed under the name uncultured bacterium. RNAcentral's name for it is "partial 16S ribosomal RNA". It matches the Rfam family "Bacterial small subunit ribosomal RNA", at positions 28 to 507 of the family's 1533-position model. The record is from RNAcentral.